Mastomys coucha (southern multimammate mouse) is the source of this 505-nucleotide long non-coding RNA. RefSeq lists it as uncharacterized. The transcript is spliced from 4 exons. The record is from RefSeq and is a predicted model, not a curated record. Lineage: Eukaryota; Metazoa; Chordata; Mammalia; Rodentia; Muridae.
GUCUACCUGCACUCUGCCAUGCUGAUACAGGACUAAACCUCUGAAACUGAUAAAAACUACAAAGCUUCUUGUGUACAAAGGUCUAUGCUGUGAAGAAAGGAUUCUGAAAGCCAAGAAAGCCAUACUAUAUAGAUUAGUCCAGGGGUUCAGAAAGCUUCAAGAGUGAUCCAUGCAGUUGACCCAACUUUCGACUUUCUCCUGAGCAUAUGACAUAUUGACAGCCAUGCAUUAACUAAAGGAGAUCAAAUAAUAGCUUCUAAGCACUUGGGACCAGAACUGUCAGUUCACAUCUCCCCUUUGCAAUGAGAUGAGACGAACAUCAUGAUAAGAUCAGGUUUUGAAGCUGGUGAAAGACAGCUGGUGCUGCACAGAAGCUGAAGAAAAGAAACCAUUUGCUGACUAUUGAAUUAAGCAACUAUGCCACAGUGGACAUUAAUCCUGUUCAAUGCUGCAGUCUUGGACGCCCAGUAUUAAGGUUCAAUAAACUAUUCUUGCUUAACUGAAA